RNAcentral lists this transfer RNA (73 nucleotides) under Hepatospora eriocheir. It matches the Rfam family "tRNA". Rfam says of the family: Transfer RNA (tRNA) molecules are approximately 80 nucleotides in length. Their secondary structure includes four short double-helical elements and three loops (D, anti-codon, and T loops). The record is from Rfam by way of RNAcentral. Lineage: Eukaryota; Fungi; Microsporidia; Hepatosporidae.
GCCAGUUUAGCUCAAUGGUUAGAGCACCAGACUCUUAAUCUGGGGGUUGUGGGUUCGAGUCCCACAAUUGGUA